Non-coding RNA from Rattus norvegicus (Norway rat), 25324 nucleotides. The record is from RefSeq and is a predicted model, not a curated record. Lineage: Eukaryota; Metazoa; Chordata; Mammalia; Rodentia; Muridae.
AAACAGAAACAAGAAAAUGAGAGAGCUUAUUAUAGAUGACUUCACUCCAAAUCCACAAUACGGCAUAGACUUUGAGAACAAUUAUUUUAUGAGGUUCUGCGAUUGCUAAAAAUUUGUGUUAAUGUUUUAGGCUAUGUGUACCUCUCACUUAGGUAGACACAGGCUUUCCAAGGUAUGAAUGGACUGCCAAUUCUUCAGCUCUGCCCUUUCAAUGAAGCAAACCCUAAAUAUGCCAAAUGCUGGUGAGAGUUCUUUUGUGUGGAAGAAAACAUGUUAUACUUUUUGCUCUCAUAAAGAGAGCACACAUGUGGAAGGGUGGCACAGCAAUAUUGUACACAGAAGCCUUUCUGGUGGCAGAUCACUUCACAGCCUGUAUCUCUGCAGGCUCAUUUUAUCACCAAACCAACUGAAUCACAUCAUUCAAUAAAAAGCAUCAUUCCUAAACACUAGGCAUUUUGGGCAAAGACCAUUCUAAAUGAUGAUUUCUUUCUUUUAUUUUCUGGUUUUAAGGGACUCCAAUAUUGGUGUUUAAAGAAGAAAUAAGUCACAUUAAAAAUGGAGGUGGUAGUGGCUUACCAGAGCUCAUUUUCUAUGCAACCCACAGGCACCCAUGGUUAAAUGGCCAAUGAUGAAUAACUCCCAGUACCUUCUGCCAGACUUAAAUGGUAAUAUUCCUCAUUUUACUGCAACAAAUGAGGCUCCUCCUCCUAUCAGUCAUGGUCCAUUCCAAUCAGUAGGGUGCCAAUAAAGCCAGAGGCUAAUGAAAAGGGCUUCAGACAAAGAGAGACAAUGGAGCGCUCCAGGCCCAACCCUGGAACUCAGAAUUCGAGGUUUUAAACACUGAAGCUUUUGGACAUUUCAGUUAAUCUUUAUUAUGCUAAUGUUAUUGAGUCUAAGGAACAAAGAAAUUUAUUUCAUGAAUUACUUCUAAACGUCAACUUCCCUGGAUUUUCUUUUCUUUUGUUAGAGACCACUGACCAUUUAACUAUCUAGAUUAAAACACACACAUUCUCCCUCUCUUCUUCCCUCCCUGGCUCAUAGAAAUCAAAACAUAAAUUAUCACAAAGAAGUCUGAUAUAAUCAACAAAGUUAAACAGUCCUCUCGUUUGAUCUCUUCUAAAUUAAAGACUGAAUGUUUUGAUAUGGUAUUAGGCACUGAAAUAAACCAGAUGUUUCUUCCUCCAUGUAACUCUCCAUGGGCACAGUCUUAAAGGGUGAUUGUCUGGCAAAUGUUCAGGGACACACAGAUUUUUCCUUCCCUUCUAUCUACCCACGUCUAUUAUCUAAACUAGUGUACAAUCCACAGGGCUUUGGGGACUUUGUGUAAAUACCUUCAUGUACAAUUCUCUUUCUUGCUAUCCUGAGAUUAAGACCACAAUUAUCCAGGCUUAAACCUAAAAUAAAAGAACCUUUGCAAAUGCAUUAUCUGGCCUUACAUGUUUAAUCACGUAGCAUUCUGAGUGUUCUUUAAAACCUAAACUGAAGAACAAAGGUUGUACCCUCUGGUGUUUCACACAUGAAAGACCUUCUAAGGCAACUAGGGAUCUAGAAUUAACUUCUAAUGACAACAGUGGUAUUUUCCCAUCAAAAAUAGAUGCUAUUAUUAUAUUAGAGAUACCACAUUCUAACUAUCUAUAAUUCUUAACAUAAAAUUCUGAUAAGCAUUUAGACUUUCAGAUGUAAUCCUCCUUAAGUUUCUUUCUCUCCUGUCUUCUAAUUCUUCCAAUCACCAGACAGCUCACUGUUUUUGUUUUUUAGUACAUUUUAAAAAUUAAACAUUAAUGAGAAUGAGAGUCUGUAAGGAAAGUUGGAGAAACAAUGAUGCAGAAGUAGGGGGAGGCUGAAGGAAGGGACAGGAAAUGUGCACAUGAGGGUCUGUAGUGAUGGAACAGAUGGAAUACAUCACCCUCAGCUAUGACAGAAAUGAUUUAUGGAAUGACCUGGCAAUUCCUGCUUAGUAACAACACAGGAUGACAGAGAUGAGUUUCCAUGACAACUAAAGCCCACCCACUAGCUAGAUUAAACAUUUCUUCCUGGCUUCCACUCAGUGAAUUUGGAUUUUCUCUCCAAAUACCAUUCUAGUUUGUCUAGCAUGCUGUUCAUAAUAUGGAAGGAUAAUCAAGGAUAUCAGGGUAACUAAAGGAAGCUUGAAGGACCACUGAAAAUAUUACAAAGUCCUGUCUGCCCACACCACAGUUUCUUUACAUAUAUUUUCCUCAGAAAAACAAAAUGACUCCCAAAUGGAGAUUUUAUUUUUAAAACUGGCUUACUAUUAAGAGUCAAAUGCUACUUGUCCCCUUACAUGUGAAUGAACUAUCUGCUACUGGAUCUUCUAAGACAAACAGGCUGAAUAUGGCAUGACAAUCAAAUACCCAAGAAAAUUUCUUCCUACACAAGUUUUCUUCAGGGGAAAAAAAAGACUUCUGCUAAAUAAAGAAUAAUGGCUAUUACAUGAAUGAGGAAACUAAGGUAAGUAAAUCAAAUCAGAGGAAACCACAUACAUACUGACCUGCACGAAGGCUCCUAAGGGGAAUGAGAAAAUGAGGGUGAGACCUCAUAUUACAGGCAAAGUUUGGUUUUUGUAGAGAAAAAAAAUUCUGAACAUAAAAGCUUUACAAGAUAAAGCUGAACAGAAUGACACACACCUUUAAUCCCAAUGCUGAAUUUGAGGCUAACCUGGUCUACAGAACAAGUUCCAGAACAGCCAGGGGUAUAUAGAGAAAUUCUGUCUUGAAAAAAAACAAACAAAAAAUCCAAACACUCUCCUCCCCCACAAAGGAAGAGACCUUACAAAUGAAGACAGUAAAUAAAUCUCUAAGCAGCUUUACUGUUUAUACACGAGUACAAGUUCAGUUUUUCAUGACAGAAACAGUUUGCAGUCUGUGGCUCUAAAAGGCCCUCUGGCACUGUUCUAACUCUGCUUUUGGUAUCUCAGCCAUGGCUCGCAAAACACAGAUGCAGAGCUACGGACCGGCAGUUGUGCCAGUCUCAGUUCAGAUCAAAGCACAACUGAUGUGGUCAGGGAGUUUAUUGGCUCCAGAUGUGUGGAACAGUCAGCCAAUUCUACAAAAAGAGCAAGUCUUCCUUCGUCACAAUCAGUACCGGCUACAAAUUAAAACCAGGCUGCUUAUAUCAUCCAAUCACCUGUACACAGAUGCCAAUUUUUUUUAUUCUAGUUAAUGAUACAUUUAAAUCUCAAGGAUGAUUCUGAAGCACAACAAACAGCCUUAAAAUUAAGAGACAGGAGUGAAUACUUACACUUUAAGAUGAUUAAAAUCUACCAGGAGUCAACUAUUUAAAAAUAAUAGAGGGAAAGACAACUAGAUAUCUUAAGAUGUUCUAUUUAAUUUCUACAUAGGAAUUUGCUUAGAGUUCCAGCUUCAGUUUCAGAAAGUCAGGCACGGCCAGCUACUGCAGAAAUGCCACUUUGCCUUUAAGGAAGGUAGAAGGGCACUAUUGUGGUAUCUGCUCAACAGACACUCCUAAGUCAGACCACAACUGAAGUCAUAUCAUACUUCUUUCCAUCAUCAGCAAGUCUGGUUGACAAGAACAAAUUCUUUACCAGUAUCUUGAAUGUUCUCAUACUGUGCAACCCAGGGUAAUUUAAAAAGACAGUGUAGCACACUUCAGGGAUAUUUACAGUAGUGACUAUGCAAUUAUGUUCAAAAUAUUUUACUUUGCAACCAACUGUAGCAAAAUUGGCAAAGACAGAUUCCUCCCGAUCUUGGAUGCUUCAGUUUAGACAUAUGAAGGACCCUCAGAUUUGGUGCAGAGAACUCUGAAGCUCUAAAGGUUGGCAUUGUGCACUACAUCUUUUUUCAAUGCACCCCUUUUGUAAUUAUUAUUGGCAACAGUACUGUACAACAAGGAAGCAUAAUCAGUGUGGCAAUUACUGAGAAAAGAUGCAAAACACACACACACACACACACACACACACACACACACACACACACGCACGCACACACCCCAGAAGCUUUAGCUAAAAAGAUAAAUAAGUCCAUAUUCUGAUGACUGAUACUCUGAAUAGCUCAAAAGAUAAGGAGGGAGACUUUUCGUUAGAGUGAGUGACUAUUGCUUACAGGACCUUUCCCCAGAAUAAAAGAAGACCUUCAGGUGAUAAGAAAAUGCUGUCCUAUGUGCCAUGCAAUGCAGCAGCCAUUAUCCAGUGGCCACCUGAGAUGUAGAUUGUACAAAGAAAAAAUGGAAUUUUAAUUUUAUUUUCUUAAUUUAAACUGCCACACAUGGCUAACAGUCCUUUACCCAGAUGUUUAGACCUACAUAAAAAACUUUGAAAGAAGUACUUUGAAAUUGUAUAUACUCCAAGGCCUAUAAAAGACAGUCCAAAUUCUCAAAAUAUUUUGAAAAUUGUCAUGUAAUUUGGAAUAAAGAAGCACGGAUGCUGGGAGUGUGGUAAGUGGCAGGCACGUCCCUAAGCAUGCCGGAGGCCUAGGCUGCAUCAGUACUUGCAGGCGCAGAGAAGUAUACGCGUUUCUUUCUGAACACCAAGUGUAGAGUCCUAUUGGCUCUUUUGCCUGGGUGGUUUGAAUAACAGUUCUCUUUAAGCUUCCAUCAGUAUACUCAAUAUCAUUAAAAAUUUUUAAAUAUGCUAACACAAACCACUAAUAUGUGAACAUUCUAGACUAGUAACAAAUUAUUUUCAGUACAAUUCAUGACAAUUUCUAAAAAUAGAAAAUAAAAAGAAUUAUUUGGCUAAUUUAUUACCAGUUUGAAAAUAAAAACAUUAUAUUCAGAAAUAACCACUUGAGUUAUCUUGAUGACGUAUGCAAUUUAGUACAUCUCCACUAGUACAAAUACAAAUUUUUAUAAAAUCUAGCUGGACACGUAAAACCUAAAAAAGAGAAAGAAAGUCCAGAUCAAAAGAAGAAGGAAAAUCCCAACCUAACCGAAACCCUGUAUUAAAGCCAUAUAUAAAUCUCGGGGAGUAUAAUGUAAAACACUCAUACUUAUGCCAGCACUCCAGGGCUUCCAAAGGAAAAAAAUGAGGCAAUUCUUAGACACAUUGACUUUUCAAUUAAGUUACUGCUGAUUAACUUACAUAAGUUAACACACAUUAGUACACAACAAAGAGUUUCCACUUUCUAAUUUUUAAGAUCUGAAUUUUGUAAAAGGAGACUGUUGAAUAAAUAAAAUUUUGGCAUUAAAAAUUAUAUUCCAACAAGUGCCAGACAGUAGAGGAUGUGUCACAUCUUUGAAAACACAGAUUCUUCUCACUACUUUGGGUCCAGUAUUUGUAUACAUAUGCAUCUACAUGUACUACAGGACACAAACAAACAAACCAACAAACAAACAAACAAACCUUUAAUUGAUUUGUGAAGCAGAAAUUCAGGUCUUCCUACUCUUCUUUGUUUCCUCUCUAAUCAAAGUUAAAUAUGACCUCAAAGGAAACUACAUAAAACUGUUAAAGUAAACUUAUGAGUGUCAGUUUAACUGGAUUUGACAAAUAGCUUAAUAUUUUUAGUAUUUUGAUAGAACAUUAAAAUGGUAAAUUUUGCAAUAAAGUCCAAUCUGUUGUUAGAGUUUUAUGGAUAGUUGCACAGGUGCCACGCUCAGAGCAUUAGGAAGCGAUGUGAAGAAAGUGCAGGAACAGCUGGACCCACCUAAGACCCUUCCUCCUGUCAGCCAGCUGCUAAGGCACACUAAGAUUCUGUAAGUGGGGGAAAUAGGCUUUACUUUCUAAGUUUCCCCUGUCUUUCCACCAAAUCUCCAGAGACAUGUCUAGGUUGUAGAAACUUGUAAAAACUUUCCUCUCUAGGAUAAUUGGUAUUUAUAGUUUUCAGUGCCUUGGAACAAUGGUUUGUUGUUUUUCAAGACAGGGUUUCUCUGUGUAGCCCUGGCUGUCCAGGAAUUUACUCUGUAGAUCAGGUUGGCCUCAAAAUCCGAGAUCCACUUGCCUCAGCCUCCAGAGUGCUGGGAUUAAACCAUCACCACCUGGUUCAGAAGGAACGUUUUAAUAUUCCCGCUUUUAAUUGUGAUGAAAUUUUCCCCAAAUUAAAUGAGGCAGAGCUUGAAAAUUAAUUUUCAUCAAAUAUACAUUUCACCUGUCUAAUAUAUGCAACUAUUUUCCAAAUAAUCACAUUUUUUCUUUUUCUUCAGAAAAUAGCCUUUUAAAAGAAGAACUUGGUCUUUACUUUCUAAGGUAAUAUGCUGAACAGUGUUUAUUACCUUACAAUUAUCUACAUGAAAAAUAUUACUAGAUGAGCGAGAAGCCUCUGGUCCCUUUCCAAUACAUUCAUGGACAGGCAGAAAGGAAUGUUUACUUAUGCCAAAACCACAAAUAAGGCAAACUGUGGACAAUCACCUUUCCUAACAAGGCCUAUGGUUUUAAUUCACAGAUAUCUGCAAUGAGUUGGAUCAAAGAAAAAGAAAAAAAAACCCUCAAUUUCCUUGGUUUAUAUAUUAGUCUUAGCCCCAUCCCCCCAAUUUAUGCAAAUGUUCUUAUCAUUCAAUGCCUUUAGCAUAACUUGUUCAGAAAAUUUCUGUAUGACUCCCUGCUUCCAUCAUAAAAAUGUUACACUUAACAUGCUGGGUCCACAGAUGGUCUGCACAUUUGAAUUUAUUAUACUGUCUUCUUUUACAGAAACUAAAUACUAAAUUCUCCAAAAGAACAUAGCUUCAACUUUAUAUACUUUCACAUUUGUGUGUGUGUGUGUGUGUGUGAGUGUGUGUGUGUGUGCGCACGCACUUUUAUUGAUGGUCAAUGAAAUACUCAUUUGAAAAAUAAGUCUUAUAAUAAUUUACAAUGUAAUAUAAAUUCAUUGCCAUUCUAGUUUUUAUGAAAAAACACAGCAUGACACAGAGAGACCAAACUAUGACUAAACUUAUUUUUAAUAUAAUAAAUUAUAUUAGAAAAGGGAAUCAGACAGUUUAAGUUCUCACGCUUUUAACAUCUCUAACAGUUAACAGGUGUUUUAAACAAAAACUGAAAAUUCCUGCUUGACUGGGCUAAGGUAGAUAUCACUGGUAAAGUGUUUGCCACCCAUAUUUGGGGCUCUGGGUUCUCUCUCCAGCCAUACACCGACAGAUAGAGACAGAGACACACAUACAGUCAGAUAGACACAGAGACAUACAGCUACACAAACACACCCACAUACACCCCACACACAGUUUGAGAAACCACACCCAUAAGAAUUAAGACAAUUAGCAUUAUGAUCAGACAUUUAAUGUAUCUGUGAAGGUGCUCUAGUGUUUUUCUUGUUCUACUUGCUAUGCAUUACAGACACAAGUGGUAACAAGGAUUCUUUGAGUUCACUGUGGAGACAAACGCACUCCUGUGACAUAAAAGAAAAGACUUAUCCUGGAGAACAAAUUAGACUCAAACUCAGAACUUAAUAUCUCAUUGUCCUUAUUUAUGAAAUGAGGCUCACAGUAUUUAAAUGAAGACAGCUUUUUGACUGAAAGGAGUCAGACACAAACUUCUUCAUGCCUGGAAUGGCCUACACAAGAAGUUCAGCAUUCAGAAUGUGAUUUGAGGCUUACUUUUGUCCUGUCUUUCAUUGCUUUAAAUAAUUUGAAAGUUUGAGGUAUCUUUGGUUUAUGGUACCUUGAACCAUUUAACCAACUAAAUAAUGAUAAUAAAAAAAAUAAUAAAAGAGGCUGCUCAGAUUAGAGACAGGCUGAAAUGCCAGUCUUAAUGUUCCUGCAAGACGACAUUUUUUGCUUAAAGAACAUCAUUUGUGUCAGUAAGUGACUAAAUGCAGGCUAAAUUCUUAAAAAUGAAGCUUCAGACAUUUACUAUCCCUUGAUGUUUUUUAAAAUCUUAAAAAAAAGCAUACUGUUCAAGAGUAGUUCUAUUUCUCCAAUUUAACAUGGAGAUUAAUACUUUACAGUGCCCUGCACAGUACAGUCAUACAAGUGACACAGGACAUCUGUCUUCAAAUAGUGAAAAAACAGUUAACAUUUCUGGUUCUUCUGCACUUAACACAUUAACUCUGCUAUGUUCCCAACAAUGUAACAAUGUAACACACUUGACAUCACAAGGUUCUUCCUUUCUGGCUAAUCUCACUUUUCCUAGCAUCUGACUGGGUUUAUGAAAAAAAAUCUCAAACCAACCAGGUACAGGGAACAGAACUGAAAACUUAAAAUCAAAUGCUGGGAAAGAAAAGGCACUGUGCUUCAGACCAGGACUGCUCAGUUUUUCUUGGAGCACCUGCUAUGCCAUGUAAACAAUAAAAUCAAUGGGAAUGCACUAGCAUUUAAAAUACUAAUGUUCUAUAUAUUAUCUUAAAUCAAUGAAAUAGAACUAAUUAAUAACCUUAAGCUUACCACCAAAAUUACACAAAAAUCCAUUAGAGUCAAAAUAUUAAUAGUUUUACUUUUUUACAUGAAAACCUAGUGGGCUAGUACUUUCUAAUAGAUACCAUUAUGAUGAUGUAGUCACAUACACUUUAGACAGCAUAAUUACACAUUAAAUAGUGCUCUUACUGUAGAAAACGAUAUUAGGGAUGUGUUUCAUAAUUUCAAUAAAAUUCUUGUAAUUAUUAGAGAAUAACCAUGUAUAAAACUAAGAUGCAUAGACUCUCGUGACAUAGGACUGAAACAAUAUGACUGCCUUAUAUAUUCUCCAAGAACAUAUAGGUCACCUUUGAUCUAUGUUAGGCACAGGGCUAUCAAUUUUCAAGCCAUACAUCUCUACUAUACCAAGUAUGUCAUGUCUUAUAAACUUGCAAAUGCUUAACUGUUCCACUGCCCCUCUCAGUGAAGAACAAAGAGAUGCAUGCCUAUGGCAGUGACCUGAGCACGGGGAUCUUAGAAAGUGAACGUCACUGAAUUUACAUGUGUGUAUGCUCACACACCUACAUGCCAUCUUUAACAGACUUCUUUUAAUUGGAAUUGGACAAAAAGGGGUUUGGGUAUUCUUUUUAUUAUAUUUUUAUAUUUGAAAGGCAGCUGACAAAAAAAACCUAUUAGCGAGAAAGUAAUGUGGCUUGCCCACUUAAAUCUACUUCUUAUAUUCUCCACAGGUCUUGACUACAAGAAGCUUGAAUAUAUAUUUCCAGUGAGCUUAGUAUCUUUUUGGCCUAUCAUCUACUAAUAAACCUUACUCAAAAGUCCACAAUUAACCCACUAGAUGGAUCCAAAGUACAGAAGCAGUAAACAGAUGAAACAACCCCUUCUACCAGUUAUCACUGGCCUUCCAACAGCACAUGCUGCUUUUAAACACUUUCAAGUGGCAAAAAAGGAAAGAGUGAAUACACCAAACUCUAUACUCUUUUAGAAAAAUGUAAUUAGUUCUCAAAAAUUAAAAUGCUAAUACUUAAAAUGCCUUUCCACAAAAAUCACUGAAGCUACAACAAAUGCAUUUUUCCUAAAAUGUGAGAGAACCAGAACAAAGCUGAGGAUGCAGCUUCUAAGCCACAGUCAGGUGAGCACUCAGCAGGGUCGGUAACGCUUUGCAAUGUGUAUCAGACAUUUCACAAUGGUAACUCUCUCUGAAUCGCUCAGGAUACUUUUUACAAUAUACAAAAUUCCUAUUUCUUUUAAAGAUUGAUUUUCAAAAAUACACUAAGUAGUUAACACUGAGUAAUUAAAAAAAAGAUUAUUCUUGCUUAGCAAUACAGAAAACUAUAUAAUACCUAAAAAUGGGUUAUAAAUGGACUAGGACUAUAUUAUUUGAAAAUGUUGAAACACAUUUUUAAAAAAAUAGUGAUUUGUGUUAUAAAUCUCCACAGGGUCAGAAUUCUAACAUGAUUAGAAACAGAUGGUAUCCCAGGAAAGUAAGGCUGGACCUGAAACUCCAAACAGGAAACACGGCCCUCGAUAGCUGACUGCUUCCCUAAUCAUUCCCAGAGCUUCAUACUUGUUCUUUUUAUGAAUGCCCAGGAUGACUUUCAUCUUUCCCAUCCAUCUACAAAGCAUCACACAAUACUCAAUAUGUUUAUGUCCUUAUGUAUAAAUUAUGUUUGUAAUAUAUGAGAAUGUAAAAAUAAGUACUUUCAAGCUUAUGCUAGAAAUACUAAACUAAAAAGAACUCAAAUUCAAGUAUAUACUAAUUAAAAGCCAACAACUACUAAGCUGCUGGAGUCACUAUUUCAAGUAACUGUUAAAGAUAGGACUUCAAUGACACAAAUAAAUAUACAAUCUAACUUAUGGUAAAAGAAUAAAACCUGCACAGAUUUUACUCAAGUGCAGAAAAAUCGCACUACUUUUCAUUAAAUAAGUCAGUAAGGCACUGUAUGAAGAAAGAAAAAGGCUUACCGUUUUCCCAUUGUAGUAAUACAUCAAAGAAUUGCUGCCCAUCCCAGGGACAGGAUAAGCACAAUACAUGUUGAUUUUGAAACUGUUAUUUGCAGCUGACGCACACAGCUUCUCUCCAACACAUAUACCCACACAGGCAGCACAAGCCCUUAGUACUGUGCAUUCACACAUGGAACUACUCAAAAGGAACUUAUGCAAAAUAGGACUGAACCAACUCACAGAGCAGAGGGAGGGUUUAUGCUGUAAUCAACUUCUUUCAAUUUCCACCAAAUCCUUGCAUUGGUGGAGGAUACCAAAUAGACAAACUCUGGAGUGCUGAAAUAAAUAUACCAAAGCCACACACUGUAUCUAAAUAAAAAGAAACACUGUAUCCUAAACGCAAAUGUACCAAAGAAUGACCAAUUUACACACACACACACACACACACACACACACACACACACACACACACACACACACACACGGACGAGAGAGAGAGAGAGAGAGAGAGAGAGAGAGAGAGAGAGAGAGAGAGAGAGAGAGAGAGAGAAGAGAGACCGAGACUGACCAAUCUUCAGCUAAUCUGUUUUUAGUUUGAAUUAAAUUAAAGCACUUGUGAAAGGAAGCCUUGCUUGCUACACCUCCAGCAACAUUACCAUCUGGCAUGUUCUAAAGUUGCUUUCAACUCUGAUAAACACAUGAUCAAGCAAUCAGGAACUGGAAACACUGAAUCACACAGGACAAGGAGGAUCCAGACAGUUAAGCCUUGUUCAAAAUUACUUCCUGGAGAAAGUGGACCAUCAUUUAAGUACCAUUUCACUGACUAGAACUACUGUGUUUUAGAAUUUUUGUUGUUGUUGUUGUUGUUGUUGUUUGUUUUUGUUACAUUGUGAAAAAAUAUUUUUUAAAUAGAAAUUCUCUUCAAAAUAAAUUACCCAUGCUUAAAAUGACAUUCUUAAAAAGGGAAAGUUCAAUGAAUAUAGAAGUUUGUUUAUAAAGUUCCUUGGAUUUCUCAUUACAACACUAAUGAAUAAUUUACAAAAGAAUGCACCCUUUAGGACAUCUAGUAUGUAAUAAGCAAUUUGGUGAUGGAAAAGGAAAAAGUGUUAUUAUUUAACGAUUGAAAAGCUGGUGAGCGUAGUGAUAAAAUGUACAUUCUAGCUAGUAAAGUUACUAGAAGUCUCUCCUUAUUCCUAUGGAAGUUAUUUAUAGUUACAUAUUCAUGUUAAAACAUUUCUUAGAAAAAUGUCUGAUUUUUCUAGCUCAUUAUACUGUAAAAUCAAAACAUGAAUCUUUGUCUCUAUGUUUCGCCCAGACACAAUUUACUAUCUACAACGUUCUCACAGUUUAUCACUUGGGUAGAUUCUAAACCAGAAAAAACAGAGUAACAACCUUUAUUUUUUUCAUUACUCACAUCAAACCCUCUUUGUACUAUUUCUUCCCUCUGUGCUUCAAAGAUAACAGCAGGACUGUGCAAAGGGACACAUCACUUUUUUAAAAGACACUUUUCAUGAGGCAGAAAUCCACUGAAAUAUUCUAUGACUAGUCUGUAAGAGACAAAAACCGAACCAAUCAAACAAACAAAAACCCCAAACAAACACCAUUCUUAGGAAACAUACUGAUUGAGUCACAGCAAUAAAACAGCACCAGGCAAUAAGGCCGACUAACACAGGAUUCAAAAGCUGAGCGCAUCAGGCCAACAAUGAGAGCUCCCCACUCUCCCCAGAUAGAGAAAAGGGCUAGCAGCAGCUGCAAAAGAACAUCACUGCACAGCAGCUAUUAAAUGCCAGUCUGCAGAGCACAAGAAACUUCCUCCCUCCUGAGAGACCACAAAGGCCUGCUUCAGCCCUUGGAGAACUGUGUGAAAAGCUUUGAUUUACAAUUAACAAUGCCAUGUCUUAAAACCUUUCAAGUAAAUUUUAGUCUUUCAUAGACAAGUUGUUCUCUUUUGACAGGAUAACUAAACUGAAAAAAAAAUCAAUCUAAGAUAAAAUUUCUCUUUUCUAUUAAUUACUAAAAAAACACCAUACUUUUCAAUAGUAAUCAUGGGAGAAUAAGGAGAAGAGGAAAGCCACAAUACACUGACAACUUUCAGUUAUUUUCUUUUGUACCUGAAAUAACUUUUUCAUGAGUAAGAAAAGAAAAGCCUGCAACAGUUAAGCUCAACAGAGAAAGUGCUUGCUAGCUUUGCUGGUAAAACAAGCAGUAUAAUGUAAAUCCUCUAUGCAACCAUGGGCUAUCACAACAUAUGGAAACAGAAUUCCCUCCCCAGCUUUUAUUUUAGAGGCAAGAAUGCAAUAUGAUGAGGGCAACAAUGAAGCCAACAAAAAAAACUCAAAGUAAAACCAAACAAAUUUAUUUUAGAGGGGGUGCUAUAAAAUCAACAACUGGUUAAGAUUUACUGUUCAGUUUAAACACAGAACGGAGGGCUGAAGAGAUGCUCAGCAGUUAAGAGCACUGACUGCUCUUCCAGAGGUCCUGAGUUCAAUUCUUAGCAACAACAUGGUGGCUCACAGCCAUCUGUCAUGGGGUCUGAUGCCCUCUUCUGGUGUGCCUGAACACAGCUACAGUAUAGUCAUACUAAAAUAAAGCCUCCCACCCAAGCCAGGUAGACUUCCUCUCUCAUGAAGCACCAGAUAUACAACUAUCUAAAUUGAGAGGAGGUCCUCUCACACCUGAGCAUGUCUGUAUAAUAAUGUUAAUAAAUUCUUCCCCCAAACCAUAAAAUCAUGGAGAAAAUCAAUGGGAAUUUAUAUAGACCCCUCACCCCAUUCUACCUUCCUGCUAGAGCAAGGGCUUUUACAUUUGUCAUUCUCAAGCACCAUCUUUGAAAGUGCACCUUACCUGAAGAAAAUGGCAACUGGUUAAUAUGAGUAAUCAUUUUCUUUGCCACAAUUAUUAGUUUUCUUCUACGACAAGGUCUUUUUUUCUAUUAAAAACCAAAACCAAAACCAGCCAACAAAAUCCCCGGUUUAUGCAACAGCUGCAGCUCCUUUCUCUGGGCAACUCAUCUUACAGGGAAUGCUUCUAGCCCAUCAAGUGCUGCGCUGCUCAAUGAGCUUGUUUCAUAUCUUUGCUUUUUUUUUUUUUUUCUUAAAGGAACAUGUCAGGGGUUAAUCUUAUGACUCGGUCUGACAAAACGAGUCAGCUGGAGACAGUGCCAAUUUUCAAGACUGAUUUCAGGCAGACCUGUCGCCUGCACAGUUCUGCACUGUUAGGAAUUCUUCAUCCUGACUUGUUUCUAUCCACAAUGCUGCAGAAGAACUUAGGUCAUGAUCAGACUUAAUAUUCACAACAUUUAGUCUAACAACCUAAAAUAACUCACAUGUUAUCACAAGAUGGGAAGCCCCGAGCACACAGGCAGCAUGAUGAAUGACAGAGACCCUAAAAAGACUGUGACUCGGAGCCACACAGCUUUGAUUAGCAAACCCAAGAUUCCCAGCUUAAGGUUUAUUGCCUUUCUCCAUUAAAAAAAAAGUUGUUGCUAUUAUAAUAUUCAUAAGGCAGAGGCCUAAACUAGGUAAGUAAAUGGUUUACCUCUUUUCUGAAGAUGUAGGAAAAAAGUGUUUUCAGUUAAGUCAACUAUGCUAAAAACUGUUCUGGAAAUUUCAAAUUCCAGGCUUCUCUAUAAAAGUCUCUUUGUAUUUUGUUUGUUUUUUUUUUUCCUUCAUUUUCUGUUGAUUCAAAAUAGAUAUUCCUUGGCAAGACAGGCAAAAUUAAAUGAAAUUUUGUUUUGCGUUUUUUAGUCUUCAUCUUCAUUUGUUCAUCUUCACUUCUGGUAUUUGAAUCAAAACAAGGGUCAUAUCUCAUUAAAAACAUAUUUGUUAAUUUAUCCUUAAGCAAGAAUGCUUCAAGUAACAUAAAAUUCUACAGUGUUCCAAAGAAAAUUUUAAUUAAAAGACAGUGAACAGUUAAUCUCAUUGUAUAUUCUUCUAAGCAAGCCACAUUCCACUAUCGGAAGAAAACCAUCUAACCUGGCUUGAAAAGUAAAUCUAAACAUGCUACAAAUAAUUCUUCAUAAAAAGUUGACAUCAUUUCUAAGAAAAGUAGUCCCUAGAGGGUAGAAUUUAAGGUAAUGAAAGCAUAUGUAAAAGUUAACACAAGUUCAAUAAUCCUUGAAGGAUGAAAUUCAGUAAAUUACAAAUUAUUGAAUCCAAGGCAGGUCAGGAUGAAAAGAGAUGCAGGAGGUUAAACAUGGACACUCCCCACUGUGGUGGCAUAUACCUAUAGUCUCAGCCCUCAAGAGGCUGAGGCAGUCAGACUGCUGUGUGAAGAUGGCCUGGCUAAGCCAUAGCUCUUAUCUCAGAAACAAGGAGGAGCAGAAUCUGCAAGUGCACAAAUUCAAAUGAAAGCCAUCUCCCAGAAGAAAGGAAUUGAGAGACCCAGUGUCCUAAAUUUGCAGAAUUUGAGGCAGUAUUGUUAAGUCAGGCAUAUAACAAGACACCCACAUUUCAGAUUUUUUUAUCUGUAAUUUUUGUAGUAUGUGCUACUUUACAACAAACAAAUCAAAGAAAGGAACUGAAUGAAGAUGCUGCUUCCCAGUCCGUAUACUUCACACUCUAAAACGCUUCAACAAACAAAGACAAGAAUAUAAAAAUCCAGUGAAAUAGUUCACCCUUUAACCCCAUUACUGAUGACUGCUCUACAUUAAAGACAACAGCUAUUUGAUCUGAAAUCAUAGUGAUCUUGUAACCACUCUUUAAAAAAAAAAUCACUGACCUAAGCUUGUGACCUUUAUUUUGGUAAUUCCCCAUGAACAAAUUUUUCCAUCUAAGUCUUAAUAAUGAAGAUAAAGAUUUUAACCAAAAUCUAACAACUGUGCUCUACACUAGUGCACAUCAUUUGGAUGCGGGAGAUGUGGCUGAGUGUGUGCUCAGUCUGCCCACAGUCCUGGUUUGGCCUCUCAUGUCAUCAGCAAAACAAAACAAAACAAAACAAGUGACUCCGUCUUAAAAUCAUUACUUAGCACAGAGCAAAGACACAUGAGAAAGCUCAUCUAGAUGGAAUAGCAAGGUUUUUAUUGCUUCUUUACAAAAUCUCAAAAUCUAAUUUAAAAUCUAGAAAUAUUUCAUGAUUAACAAAAUAGAAAAUAUCCACCUUUAUAGUUAACAGAAACCAAUUAAAUAGCCUGUACUUUGUGGGGGUAGGGGCAAGAAUACUUGUUUAAUUUCUCUUUGAAAAUUCCCACGACUCUACGGAGAAUGUGUAAGAGCUGUCCAGUCUUCUGGAGAAGCAUGCAGGCUGUCCAAUAGGACUCCUAUGGCAGACACCUAUAGAGGUGUCAGGCCACUUCUAUGGUAUUUCUUCCUCCAGUCCUCUAUGAGGAACAGUUGCCACUACUGAAUUCUCUCAGAGACAGAGCACAGGGUAUAUACUUCUUUGGAUCACAUGCCACCAUGACAAGGCAGUUUUCUUUAAAAUGUUAAAAUGGGGGGUGAGGAGAGAAACACCCUCCCCUAACAUUAAUUAAUAGUUCCUGGAUCUGUUGGCUGUCCAGUUCUUUCACCACACGAAUUGGAGAUUUUUACUUCUCAUUCAUCACUUAAAAUAAUCUUGUAUAGAGUUAUAUGUUGCAACUUGAUAAUUUUUCCAGAGAAGGCUCUAUAAUCAUAAGACUGCCUACCAGUAUAUGUGCACACACAUAAACAAAACCAAAUGACAAGGACCCAGAGGUCUUACUACCCCAAAAUAUACCAGGACUUUUGAAAAGUGUUGAAGACUGGCACAAGGUUUUGAACUUGUUAAGCAAUCUAAGAAAAACUAUAGGCAAACGAAAGUUUCUUAUGAAACAUCCACAAAGGAGAGUGCAGACAGGUUUUAGACUUUUUUUUUUUAAGUCACAGAGUUUGUUUUUUCUAGGCACGCUUUUUCUUCUGGGCUGGUGAAACUUUAACAGAGGUAGAACACACCAGGAUAUUCUGUUAUCUCCACAUUUCUUUGUCUAGGUAGAUCCCUCCAUGAUAUGCAAUCCACAGCUCCAAGCUUAAAUACAUUGAGUUAUUUCUAGGUCAUGAUCUAUUUUUUUUCAAUAAUGAUUUAUCUCUGAACAAUUAACACUCAAGGAAUAAAACAAGGCUAGCUUCUAUUACCUGUACUAAAAGGAAUUAUACAGUUCCUAAAUUUGUCUUAUUUUAAAAAACAAUUUCGUAGUUGCAAAUUCUGCAGAUUACUCUUUUGUUUUGUUUUGCUUUCGAGACAUGGAGAAAUGGCUUCUGCAUCUCAAAUGCUGGGAUUAAAGGAGUGCACCACUACCACCAGGCAAAAGCUGCUGCUGCUGCUGCUUCUCCUUCUCCUCCUCCUCCUCCUCUUCUUUUUUUUGGGGGGGGGGGAUGAGGGGAGAGUGGAUGUUGUCUACUUUUUUUUUCUUUUUUUUCUUUUUUUUUUUCAGAGCUGGGGACCGAACCCAGGGCCUUGGGCUUGCUAGGCAAGCGCUCUACCACUGAGCUAAAUCCCCAACCCCAUGUUGUCUACUUUUAACAACAUCCAUCUAAUACUUCGUUUUGAAAACACAUCUGAGAAAGGUGAAAUCAACAGGGAAGGGGAUAAAAAACAUAUUAACGCUGUCUUUCAACACUGGGGAAAAAAAUCAAGGGGCUACAGAGAUGGCCCUGUGGUCAAUGAGUACUUGCUGCUCUUCCAGAGGUCCCAGGUUUGAUUCCUGGCACCUACAUGGCAGCUCACAGUCAUCUGUAACUCUAGUUCUAGGGGAUCUGAAACCCUCUUCUGACCUCCACAGACACUACACAUAUUACACAGACAUACACAAAGGCAAAAUAACCAUAAGUAAAUCUUUUUAAAAAGUAUAACAAACAUUGUCUAAUAUUUAUAAUGAUUUACCAGGAAAUGAAGUCUGUAACUAAAAGAAGGAGCCCUACAGAUAAACUUGGGGGAAAGAAACAAAUUUUGAUAAAAAUCUGUUAAACUACUUGCUCUAGACUCUGAAUCAGACGUGUGUGUACAAAAGCAUUACAUUCUCCCUACCACAGAUCAAGAUAGGUGGCAUAUGUCAUAGAGAACUGUGGGCUAUAACUUACAAAGCCAAAAAAAACACACACCAAAAAAAAAACCCCCAAACCAAAACAAACACAAACAAACAAACAAACAAACAAACAAACAAACCCUGCCUGAGGAACUAGGGCUCAGGUUUCAGCUGUCUUUUCAGAAAAUGAAAUUUCAGAUCAUUCCAUUCAAUUACUUCUUCAAAAUCCAGGUAUCAAAUGAUGCUGAAGAUUUCCUAGCAAUCUGACUAAUUAAGCCUUUCCUAAGUUUAAUAUCUGUAAUACCAGCACUCAAGAGGCAGAGGUGAGAGACGGCUAUGACUUCAGGCCAGCCUGGACUACAUAGUGAGACCCUCUUACUAUGAGAGAGAGGGAGAGUCCAGCUAACCACCAACCACUUUCAUGUUUUAUCAUCAACUGCACCCCCAAACUAGCAAUUCUUGCUUUGAAAGACUUUUGUCUUAAAUUCUUUCAGUCGCACUGAGUAUGCUUCUCUGUUUAAAACAAAACUAGAGCCAUAUACUUGCCACCCAGACUUCUGAUUAGAAGAGGAGUGAGGGACUGCUGCAGCAGUACAUACACUAAAAAAGAAGAAUGCAGAGAUGAUCACGAUGGCACCUAUGUAGGAUGCUGUACAUAUUUAUGCAGCUUGAUAGAGCUUGCUCUUGUUGACUCAACUGUCUUAAGGAAAGAAACAGUGAAGCUGCCAUGCUGAAGUAAACUGGCUAUGUGUGCAAGACAUGAGUCUACUUUCAUUGCUAGAGUGCCUCUUUUCAAUACAUCGAGCUCCAUAAUUGCUAGGUAUUCUGAAAUAUGUUAGAUCUGGCCAUAUGCUCAGUUUCUGAAACCCAGAUGUGGUAGUUUGAAUAGGUUUAGAAUGUUUGGUCAUAGGGAGUGGCACUAUUAGGAAGUGUGGCCUUACUGGAGUACAUGUGGUCUUGGUGGAAGAAAUACUGUGCUGAUAGCUAGGUUCUUAGGUCUCCUAUGCUGAAGGAGACCAGUGUGGAAUCAGAGAACCGUCUCUUGGCUGCCUGAAGAAAACAAUCCACUUCUGCUGCCUGUGGAUCAAGAUGUAGUUCCUCUAGCAUCAUGUCUGCCUGGACACUGUCAUACUUCUACCAUGAUGGUAGUGCAGUGAACCUCUGAAAGUGUAAGCCAGUCACAAUGACAUGGUAUUCCCUAGAAGAGUUGCCUUGAUCAUGGUGUGCGUUCAUAGCACUAACACCAAACUAAGACACCAGAGUUGUUGCAGUUGAUGUUCAGUGUCCACAGCAACCUCAAAUCUUAUUUUCAUCAUCAUACCUACUAAUAGUAAAAUGAGAAAACGAAAAGAAAGCUUUACAGGAAAUCAAAGAUCCAGGAAUCCCAGAACCACAUUACAACUCCUGAGCUCUAAGAUAAGCAUCAAAAAAAAAAAAAAAAAAAAAAAAAAAAAAAAAAAAAAAAAAGCUCUGAACAUAACAAGUGCUAACAACUGAGGUAUAAGUGGUUACUGCCCUGUAAUAUGUAAUAUGUAAUAUGUAAUAUGCUCAUUUAAAGUGAUCAUCUAUCUUAAAAGUUAUGGAGUAUUUAGAAAAACAAUGGAAGGCUGGCAUCUUACCAACAGGUAAAAACUCUUACCCAACUUUGGUAUUAUUUACUCAGCAACAAUUUUGACAUCUUAAUGUGCAUUUAUAUGUAGGUUGGACAUUAGAUUAAUUUAGUUCCCCUAGAAAAUGAAAGAUUUGUAGUCAAACCCUUGAAAUAACUUCAGAAGACUCUUUAGAGAGAUAGGUGAGAGCUGAGCUGACGAGAGACCCUGUCAAAGGAGUGGACUGUGGCUUCUUACCAUCCUUUCACAAAUGCGUGGGGCCUAUAACACGAUUCUUUAUAUGCUCUGGCUAGAAAAUUUAGUAGAGCAGUAAAAGGGACUAUGAAAUGGAUUAUAAAUGAAACAUAGCUGCAAUGAGCAAACGGCCUGAGAACUCACAGGAUGAAGUCUAGGCAACACCACCAUACCAACUUUAGAGUGUGACCUUGAGGAUGUGUGCUUUCCUAACCUUGAAAGAGUUUAUCUGUGGUACUAUUGUUAAACUUGGAUCAUAUAACUUCGACACACCACAUUUUCUAACACUAGGACUCUAUGCUGGAAAUGAACUAUACAUCUCCUAAUUCUCAUGUAUUUAAACUGAGAGUCUAUGCUCACAAAAAUGGAAAUAUCAUUGGUAAACUUUGUCAAGCAAAGAAUUAUUUUUCUGAUUAAAAAAAAAAAACAGAGAGCUUCCCCCUCAUCUUACAGUAUUUAUAAGAUUUAAGCAUAGUUAAUAGUCUAUAAUAAAAGGCUAGAAUAUGGCUACAGUUUUCCUUCUCUGAGGAUAUUUCAGAAAAUCUUCUGUAGUUAGACCAACUUCAUGACAAUUAAGCAAGGUGCAGGAGGCAAGACAGCGACAGCCCUGCUGCUAAUCAAGGAUUUGCUAAUUUAUUUAGUAUCUAUUAGCGAAUGGGGACAGAAAAAAAAAACCAAAUUAAGCCACAUUCCCACUUCAUAAAAUGUUGAAGGUAAAGAAUAAACUGGAUAAACUAUUCAGAAAGUGUAGUAGGGAAGGAAGGAAGGAAGGAAGGAAGGAAGGAAGGAAGGAAGGAAGGAAGGAAGGAAGGAAGGAAGGAGUAGUGGGUGUAUGUUGCCAUUUUCUAUAGGGUGGCAAUGAGAGACCCCAAUGAUCAGAGAGAAAACCAGCCAUGCAGGUACAGAGGACCCCAUGGGAAUAGUGGCAGAGAAUCAUAAAUACACAGAAGGGCCUGAGGCUGGACCCAGGGAGGGGACGAUGGCAGAAGAGGAUGUGAGAGGAAGGAGGUAGGUCCUGAGGGUCUGCUAAGCCACUGUAAGGACUUUGGCUUAGUACUGAUAAGCUACUCAGGAUGUAAGGGAGAGGGGAGAUGACUCAGAGAGUUAAGCAGGCUCCCUUCAUGAAAGAAAGCACUGAAGGAAAACCACAAGACUAGCUGGGGAGAGGUACACUGAUCUAAGACUAGCUGGGGAGAGGUACACUGAUCUGAGACUAGCUGGGGAGAGGUACACCGAUCUAUGACUAGCUGGGGAGAGGUACACCGAUCUGAGACUAGCUGGGGAGAGGUACACUGAUCUGAGACUAGCUGGGGAGAGGUACACUGAUCUGAGACUAGCUGGGGAGAGGUACACUGAUCUGAGACUAGCUGGGGAGAGGUACACUGAUCUGAGACUAGCUGGGGAGAGGUACACUGAUCUGAGACUAGCUGGGGAGAGGUACACUGAUCUGAGACUAGCUGGGGAGAGGUACACUGAUCUGAGACUAGCUGGGGAGAGGUACACUGAUCUGAGACUAGCUGGGGAGAGGUACACUGAUCUGAGACUAGCUGGGGAGAGGUACACUGAUCUGAGACUAGCUGGGGAGAGGUACACUGAUCUGAGACUAGCUGGGGAGAGGUACACUGAUCUGAGACUAGCUGGGGAGAGGUACACUGAUCUGAGACUAGCUGGGGAGAGGUACACUGAUCUGAGACUAGCUGGGGAGAGGUACACUGAUCUGAGACUAGCUGGGGAGAGGUACACUGAUCUGAGACUAGCUGGGGAGAGGUACACUGAUCUAAGACUAGCUGGGGAGAGGUACACUGAUCUGAGAAAGAGAGAAGGGAACUGGACAAAGAUGGCACAGUGCAGGUACAGAAGGACGGUUAAAUCUCAAGGGUAUUUCAGUAUGAGAAAUAAGGUACUUUUUCCUCCUCUUUAGGAAAAAAAAUGUCUCCUGUACUCUGGUUUCUACUAAUGUUUUAGAAGAAAAGUCCUUACAUCUUUGAUGAGGUCAAUCCUAAAUCAAUACAGAGCUGACACUGAUGCCCGAAUUACCUUUUCUGUUGUAAAAACAUUGUUUUGGGUAAAAUUUAACAGCAUAUUUUAGAAGACAAAUUGGGAACAAAAGUUUGUUUCUUAUAUAAAGAUAAAGAAAGCAAGUUAGCAUAUUUUCCAUCAUUUAGACAAUCAGAGAAGGAAACUGAGAAGUACCAUUUACAACAGGAAAUCAACCAGUGUUCCUUUCUGGAUGAGGAAGUAAAUAGCUAUACAGACAUCAUUUCCAGCCUCUUUGACUGAAAUAAUCUUCUGAGUAAUAUAUACUCUAUGACUAGAAGACAAUGAUUCAACAGGAAAAUGUUCAGAGUUACUUCUCUUCACAGGUUCAACUUCUAACUCAUGUCUUUUAAGUAUAAUCAUCUUGAAGACGGGCCUAUAUUCUCCUUGUACUUGGCCUUCUUUUUGUUUGUUUAUUUAUUUUUUGAGAUAGGGUUUCUCUAUGUAGCUUUAGCUGUCCUGGAAUUCCCUUUGUAGACCAGGAUGAUUUUGAACCCACAGAGGUGUGCUUCUGUCUCCCUAGUGUUGGGAUUGAAGGCAUGCCCCACCACUGCCCAGCUCAUUUCAGAACACUUGAAAUGACGUUAGCAGAAGGGUCUCACUGAAACCUAAUAGGAAAGAGUUGGUAAUUCUCAAAUUCUUAUUCCUCCAGAGGACCGGGGACUAAAUACAGGGAAUACUCUACCCCUGAGUGAUAUCCCUAACCUUGGUUUUUGAAAACCUUAAAUAUCUUUAAUGAUGCUGGGAGAAAUAGCUGCUUAUGAUUCCAAACCAAACUUAAAACAACUCAAGUACAAAUCAAAACAUGAACUUUUAUUUACUAAUCAGAGUUUUAAAAGUUAAAAAUCAUGUAAGAACCAUAAAAAAUUCACCUACAUUCAUAAAGAUUAACAUUAAGAAAAUGAAGUUUCCAGGCACAAACCUUCAUGUUAAACGGCACUUAAUUCCUACAUGUUCUACUAUCAUACAUACUUGCAUAGAAAACAGACCACAGCACCCAUCUUCAGCUUAUGUUUUACCACCAUGCUGGGCUAGAACAAAGAUGAUAACUGGAGUGUACACACAUCUUUAAUAUCAUCUGAUGUAACACUUAAAUCCCAGAACAUUAUAACUCUUGGUUAUUAGCUUUACUGUGCUAGAGGUAAAUGAUUUUAGAAAGCAUCUGACAGUACAAUGAAAACUGGCUCUGUAUCCAGGGCCUUGAUGACAGAGACUGCCUUUGUAUCCUUUGAGUCUAGUACAGGUCGACAACUUAGGGUUAGCAGGCCGCAAGUCUGAUCUACCAACUAUUCUGAUCAAGUUUUACUGGAACCUGGCCUUGUCUGUUCAUUUCCAUACCGCCUGUAGCUACUUUCAAUACUAUUAACACAACAGUGUCGAGUAGUUUCAGCAGAGACCAUUUAUCCCCUUACCUCCAUAUUUACUGUACAACCCCUUUAUAAAGAACUUUGAGUGAUAAGUGCCUUUAAUGCCAACAUUGGGGCGAAUGGGUAGGGACAGGAGCAGGGGCAAGGGUGACUCUUGAGUUUGAGGUCAGUCUAAGCUUCACAGUAAGGCCCUGUCUCAAGAAACAAAAAGAAAACCAAAAGAACCUUGAUGCAGUAUACUUGAUGGAGUAUAUUUGAUGCAGUAUACUGGGGAAUACUGAAAUACACCCCUGAGCUCUGGACCCCUGCCCAUCUCCUGCCUCCUUUCUCCAGUGAGAAAAUUAUAGGUAUGUGCUACCUAUGCCCAGCCAGACUUAGAUUACUUUUUGAAGACUAAUAAAAUAUUGUCAACACUAAAGUUAUACUGGGUUAGAUACUACAACAAAUAUAGUUGAAAAAGUAAAAAAUCUGAUAGGUGAAUAGUUUAAAAUGUUUGAAAUCUGCUUUAAGACUAUAACGUGUGGGAGGAUUUAGAAACAUUUUCAGAACUUAAAGUGUUUUUAAAUGAUUUAAAGAUUACACACAAAUCUACAUGGCAUACAUUACAGGGAACAAUUAACUUCCCAAGCACAAUCAGUAUUAGCUGAGCAAAGGUACGCAUUUGUGACAACAAAGAUCAUACUCGACAGUGACAUAGGACAGACACUUUUCCUGUCUUAGAGUAAAAUCCGAUCUCACUCAUCCCUGAUGGUAAAAACUUGAAUUUUAUGCUGCUUUAUGUCUUUAUUUUAUAUUAAAAAAAACCAAGCCUGUCAUAUCAGCAAAAUUAAAAAAAGUAAAGAAACAACUUGGUUUUCUACUGAUGGUUAAUAUGCUGACAGUGAUAUUAGGCUUUACGUGCAUUUAAAUAACUCAACAAUGUAUCUUCUAAAAUCCAUACACGUUGUACACAGAAAAUGAAUUGGCCACUCAUUUACAUCUGGUUUAUAACAACUCAGGGAUUCAAAUUAUGAGCAGCCGUAAAGUUCAAUAAGCCUUAUAAGCCACUUUCAGCAAGAUGGUUUACAGGGUAAGGACAUUUAACAUGACAGCUGAUCCAGGGACCCACAUGAUGGAAAGAGACACUCCCCUUACCCUCCACCAAAUACCAUGUAAAUAUGUUUAGAAAGCCGUCUCUGAAUGAAAUUGAGGCAUAUUUUUUGUUUAAUAAAGAACAUAGAGCUCAGAAAGAAACAAUGUGACUGCAGGUGUGCAACCAUACCAGGGCACAACUGGGGCCACAGAAGUGACAGAGUACUCCCCCCCCCCCCCCCCCCGCCUUCUCACUUUAAACCAGAUCAAAGUUUUCUUGGCACUUCACAAAAGUCAACAACAGAGCUAAGUUAAAACCUAUCAUUCAUACUGAUACAAUUCUGACACAGCUUCAAUAGUGGGCACCAUAAACAUCAAAAGUGGUUGCUUUUCUUACUGACAUACGAAACCUUUCAGUUAAACUGGGCAGUUGUACCCUUUACAGAUCGAUCUAACUGUAUAGUCAGAGAAUGAACUGGCCACUGCAGGAAUUUUGUAUUGGAUCAGCCUUAAAACAGAGCUAACCUAUGUGACAGGUGGAAAUAAGACUCUUCCACACCUUCAAUAUGCCCUCUAUGCUUGUUUGCUCAGAACUAGUAAGCAAAUACCAUGUUCAGUCCAUGUUCAAGAGCUGCAGCUCUUCCUUGUGACGUUACACUGAGGUUGACACUGGCUUGUAAAGCUGUUUACUCCUCGUUAGCUAUACUUACUGCCAGUCUUAGAGGUCUCAGGCAAUUGUUUAUGGCAUGCUUCCUUGGCUUCCUAGUGAUGCUCAUGGAGCAGCCCAUCAGGAGAAUCACUCCCAGUUGUUGACCUUGUUAUCUUCAAGGGGCUCUUUCUCUACAGUGCCAACCCCUGACAGGGAUUUUGCUAGUUGAGAGAGCUAAUCAUUUUGUACUUCAGUUUCUCAAGUUAAUAAUUUUUACCAGCCCCAGAAAGAGCUGCUUGUCAACGCUCUUAUUUAGAAGUCUUAGUCUAAAUGUGUUUGGGACUUACUAUUCCAUUUCUUUGUAGUUCUUAGUCUUAUUUAUCCUAUCUGAUAUUACAGAGCAAUACACCAGCAUUAUGUAUGGGUCUAGAAGCCUGUGUGGUUUGGGGCACCUCAGAAUCUCUCCAACUAAUUUGUGAUGUUCAUACAUUUAAGCUUUAAUGUUAAUUCAAAAUUCAUAUUAAUUUUAAAAAGGUAGGCUGAAAUGUCACUAGGAGGGAGUGAGCUUGCCUGCCAUGUAUGGGAAUGGAGCCCUAGGUUUUGAACCCGAGCACUGGAAAAAGAAAAUAACAAUUUCUAACUAGGAUUAUUUUUGUUUGUUGCUGUUGUUUAAUGUUUGAGAGUGUACCUUUCUGUCUACCUCUGGCUGGCCUGGUACUCACUAUGUACCAACUCACAGCAGUUUUCCUAUCUCAGCUUCCCGAAAGCUGGGUUAAUGGGUGUGAACCACCAUGACCAGUUAUAAUUACCAACCUUAAGUCCAUAGGACUGCUUCAAAGCACGAAAAUGUAGUCUAAACUACUCUGAUUCAUAUUGGAAAAUGAAGCUCCUUGGUUGAAAGAGGAGUUAGAAAACAAAACUUUUUAAAUGGGGUAUCAAAAUACAUUUUGAGAACUUACCUAAGAAAUUAUAUUAACAGUUUUUGUGGGAAGAUAUACACGCUUUAAAAUAUAGAACAAAAGACAGUGUGACAUUUGAUCAAGAAAAAAACAAUGUACCAUUAGCCUAUGAUUAACCCUGUAAGCUAGUUAUGUUAAAAAAAAAAUCUAAUAAGACAUGCUGUUUUGAUGCAGUUGAAGAUGCACUUUUUUUUUUUUCUUUUUUUCGGAGCUGGGGACCGAAA